AGGUUAUGUAAAAGAAACAUCUUGGAACAGCUACCAGCCACAGCUGGGAACUUAAGCUCCAACCUCAGGAGGGAGCAGAACAAGGUUAAUUCCAAUGGGAAUACAAAAGUUCAAACACAAGAUGAAAAUAGGGUAGGAGCUCGAUUUGCACAACACCUUUAAGACCCAGGGACUGCUUUUCUGGCUACACAUAUGCAUCCUUUGAUCCUCUGUUUCUUUGAGUUUUGGUGUUGCAAUUGUUUUAUUUGAUUUUGGUUAAACAGAAAAUGCUCUGAGAAGUGACAGGGUACCAACGGGCUGGGGGACAGCAGCACUAGCCUCUCAGUCUCACUCCAGAGAAGAGCAAGGAAGGGGGACAAGACAGUGGGAAAUAAUGAACAAAGCAGCUUGGACUCUGGAGCCCAAAAGUCAGCUGAGGGGCCAUGGGAACUGGUCGGACCUGCCAAUCACCUAAAGCAUUAGCCUGUGAAAAGACUGUGCCCACCCAGCCCAGGCCUCUGGAUUGCACAGGACAAGCCCCUGUCCCAAAAUACAGCACAGAAACAAACUGUGAGCAUACCUCAGCUUUACUGCUGAGCAUAUAAACCACUUUAGAGAAAAACAGUGGUAUUUUGUAUAAGAAAUUGGCAAGACCCACGGUGUUGACAAUGUGCUGAGAGUUCAUGUUUGACCUCACCAACUCUCAACCUAUUUGAGUUUCCAGCCCCUCUGAAGCUUGAUGACUACACAUCAGUAAGACUUCUGAUUAUGGAAACAUUUUCUCUACUGUGUCCUCCAACUGUCACUUGAACUGACUGGUAAAAUUUUAGCAGACAAUAGUGAGACUGUCAACGAAAACAGUAACUCUUUUAGUGAUUCCAGAGAGAUCUCUGGAUUUACUUGGAUGUCAAGAGUUCAGGCAUGGUGGAGGGGUACUGAGGAAGAAUGGCAACAAUUCGAGCAAGACAUAUUAUCGGAAAGAAAUUGUCCUUUCUGGAAGAAAAGAAGUAUCUCUGGGUGGAUUGGGACACUGGUGCUGGCACCCACUUGCUUAUUUGCUGAGGCUUUUUGGUCCUUCUUGUUCCUCAGAGAAAGGUUACCAAGCAACGGCUUCAGGCAAAUCACCUCAGAUCUGCUCUCCAUUCCCCCAGGGUUGUGGGGGUCCGAAGCACAAGCAGAUGUCUGGAGGGAGCUAUUACUCACAUCCUCCCCUUCUUAAUUUCCCCUUCUUAAUUUCGCUCGGUGGCAGUAGCAGCAGUCACAGACCAAUCUCUAUCACUUCAGGAAAGAAGGGGGCAGAAACAGGUAAGAAACUGGCAAUAAAAGGGCAAUAGGAAGAAAGCUUUAAUCUAAGCCUUUGCCAACUGUGGUGAGGACAAACCCACUCUGUUUUGUUCAAAAGGUAUUCUUUGGAAGGAAAAAAAAAUUAGAUAUGUUGAAAGGAAAGAACAUUAAAAAGGGAUUCUGGUGUUUUUAUCCAGAUCACUCAGCCUCUAGUUCUGAAAUUCUCCUAAGAGCUCUUGCUAGAAGUCAGAGUUCCUUCAACAGAAAAGAAGAAAAGAAAAAAAUUAAGGGGGAAGUGGUGAGAUAAUUAGGUAGGAACACACGCUUAUAAGUUCUAUCCCCAAAAUACAGAGUGUGAAUAAUUAUAUAAGGAGAUGAAAUAUGAGUAAAUAUGGAUAUUACAACCUUCUUUGAAAUUAGGCCUUAUACUGUUUAAUGUCAUUUUAAUAAUCUUGUGGUUUAUUCUAUAAUGUAUUUUCCAAAUUGCUGUAGAAAGCCUGAAGGCACAUGUACAAUGAAAUCAUUCAGCAAAGUUUUUUAAACAAUU
RNAcentral lists this long non-coding RNA (1810 nucleotides) under Homo sapiens (human). RNAcentral's name for it is "HSALNT0200793". Lineage: Eukaryota; Metazoa; Chordata; Mammalia; Primates; Hominidae. The record is from RNAcentral.